This 289-nucleotide ribosomal RNA is filed under the name uncultured Bacteroidota bacterium. RNAcentral's name for it is "uncultured Bacteroidetes bacterium partial 16S ribosomal RNA". It matches the Rfam family "Bacterial small subunit ribosomal RNA", at positions 56 to 339 of the family's 1533-position model. The record is from RNAcentral. Lineage: Bacteria; Pseudomonadati; Bacteroidota.
UGCAAGUCGAGGGGCAGCGGAGAGGUAGCAAUACCUUUGCCGGCGACCGGCGCACGGGUGAGUAACACGUAUGCAAUCCACCUGUAACAGGGGGAUAACCCGGAGAAAUCCGGCCUAAUACCCCAUAAGGAUGUCUGUCCGCAUGGGCGGUCAUCUAAAGGUUUUCCGGUUACAGAUGGGCAUGCGUUCCAUUAGCUGGUUGGCGGGGUAACGGCCCACCAAGCCUUCGAUGGAUAGGGGUUCUGAGAGGAAGGUCCCCACAUUGGAACUGAGACACGGUCCAAACUCC